AGAGUUUGAUCAUGGCUCAGAACGAACGCUGGCGGCGUGGAUAAGACAUGCAAGUCGCACGGAUUCUUCGGGGUAGCAAUACUUCGGAGAGUUAGUGGCGCAAGGGUGCGUAACACGUGGGCAACCUGCCCGAGAGUGGGGGGAUAGCCCGCCGAAAGGGGAUUAAUACCGCAUUGUGGCUAGUGAAGACAUCUUCACGACGCCAAAGCCGGGGCAACCUGGCGCUCUUGGAUGGGCCCGCGGCCUAUCAGCUAGUUGGUAGGUCACGGCUUACCAAGGCGAUGACGGGUAGCUGGUCUGAGAGGACGACCAGCCACACUGGAACUGAGACACGGUCCAGACACCUACGGGUGGCAGCAGUCGAGAAUUUUUCUCAAUGGGCGCAAGCCUGAAGGAGCGACGCCGCGUGGAGGAUGAAGGUUUUCGGAUUGUAAACUCCUGUCAUUGGUGAACAAGGCCGGCCCUUAACUGGGUGCCGGUUUGCUAGUAGCCGAAGAGGAAGGGACGGCUAACUCUGUGCCAGCAGCCGCGGUAAUACAGAGGUCCCAAGCGUUGUUCGGAUUCACUGGGCGUAAAGGGUGCGUAGGUGGCGGGGAAAGUUUGAUGUGAAAUCUCCGGGCUUAACCCGGAAAUGGCAUUGAAUACUAUUCCGCUUGGAGGGUUGGAGGGGGGACUGGAAUUCUCGGUGUAGCAGUGAAAUGCGUAGAUAUCGAGAGGAACACCAGUGGCGAAGGCGAGUCCCUGGACAACACCUGACACUGAGGCACGAAAGCUAGGGGAGCAAACAGGAUUAGAUACCCUAGUAGUCC
Molecule: ribosomal RNA, 809 nt
Filed under: uncultured bacterium
Lineage: Bacteria
Description: bacterial SSU rRNA
Rfam family: Bacterial small subunit ribosomal RNA
Source: RNAcentral